GGUACGUAGUAUUAAGAGUUUUCUAACUCCCAAACCCAUGUGAACAUACCUUAUGUUGCCUCGGCAGGUCGAGCCUACCCUGUAAGAUCUUACCCUGUAAGAUCCUACCCUGUAGCACCCGGACGCGGGUAGACCUGCCGGCGGCCCACGAAACUCUGUUUAGCAUUUGAAUCUCUGAGAAUACAACUAAAUAAGUUAAAAACUUUCAACAACGGAUCUCUUGGUUCUGGCAUCGAUGAAGAACGCAGCGAAAUGCGAUAAGUAAUGUGAAUUGCAGAAUUCAGUGAAUCAUCGAAUCUUUGAACGCACAUUGCGCCCAUUAGUAUUCUAGUGGGCAUGCCUGUUCGAGCGUCAUUUCAACCCUUAAGCCUCUGUUGCUUAGCGUUGGGAGCCUACAGCUGCUGUAGCUCCUCAAAUUUAGUGGCGGAGUCGGUUCACACUCUAGACGUAGUAAUUUCUUUGUUCUCGCCUACGAGUUAUACCGGUCCCCUGCCGUUAACCCCCCUUAAUUUUCUAAAGGUUGACCUCGGAUCAGGUAGGAAUACCCGCUGAACUUAAGCAUAUCAAUAAGCCGGAGGAGAA
RNAcentral lists this ribosomal RNA (582 nucleotides) under Albugo laibachii. RNAcentral's name for it is "eukaryotic LSU rRNA". The stretch from base 201 to 354 matches the Rfam family "5.8S ribosomal RNA". The record is from RNAcentral. Lineage: Eukaryota; Oomycota; Peronosporomycetes; Albuginales; Albuginaceae.